This 332-nucleotide unclassified non-coding RNA is filed under the name soil metagenome. Its description in RNAcentral is "partial contains 5.8S ribosomal RNA, internal transcribed spacer 2, and large subunit ribosomal RNA". The stretch from base 1 to 120 matches the Rfam family "5.8S ribosomal RNA", at positions 35 to 154 of the family's 154-position model. The record is from RNAcentral.
GAUGAAGAACGUAGCGAAAUGCGAUAAGUAAUGCGAAUUGCAGAAUUCAGUGAGUCAUCGAAUCUUUGAACGCACAUUGCGCCCGCUAGUAUUCUGGCGGGCAUGCCUGUUCGAGCGUCAUUUCAACCAUCAAGCCCUAGGCUUGCGUUGGAGCCCUGCGGCUGCCGCAGGCUCCCAAAUCCAGUGGCGGGCUCGUCGUCGUACCGAGUGCAGUAAACAUCCUCGCUCAGGGAACGUGACGGGUUCUUGCCGUGAAACCCCCCACAUAUCAAGGUUGACCUCGGAUCAGGUAGGAAUACCCGCUGAACUUAAGCAUAUCAAUAAGCGGAGGA